UACGGAGGGUGCGAGCGUUGUCCGGAAUCAUUGGGCGUAAAGGGCGCGUAGGUGGCGGGACAAGCGUGCGGUGAAAGCUCGGGGCUCAACCCCGCGUCGGCCGUGCGAACUGUUUUGCUUGAGCACUGUAGAGGCAGGCGGAAUUCCGGGUGUAGCGGUGGAAUGCGUAGAGAUCCGGAAGAACACCGGUGGCGAAGGCGGCCUGCUGGGCAGUAGCUGACACUGAGGCGCGACAGCGUGGGGAGCAACAGGG
This 253-nucleotide ribosomal RNA is filed under the name uncultured bacterium. RNAcentral describes it as "partial 16S ribosomal RNA". It matches the Rfam family "Bacterial small subunit ribosomal RNA", at positions 524 to 776 of the family's 1533-position model. The record is from RNAcentral.